Bombus pascuorum is the source of this 2189-nucleotide long non-coding RNA. RefSeq lists it as uncharacterized. The record is from RefSeq and is a predicted model, not a curated record. The transcript has 2 exons. NCBI's taxonomy places the organism in Eukaryota, Metazoa, Arthropoda, Insecta, Hymenoptera, Apidae.
AAUCUAACUUUGGUCUUAGUAUUUGGUUGGUUAUAAUUAUUCUAACUUUAACUCGUAACUAUUGUCUUACGAUCAAUCUUACUAAUUGUUAUUAACAAUUUGAUGGUAUAAUUAAAUCUAACUUUUAUUCGUAAUUAUCCUUUUACGAAUCAAGUCUUAACUUUAUAACCUUAAUUUUAUUUUUAUCCGUGCGCGUAUCGAUUAUGUGUGUGCAGAUCUAUUUUCUUUCAUCUACGUUCGAUAUUAGCUACUUAAUUUACAUUUAAAUUAUGCUUUUAUAUUCUCCGUUAUUGAAUCGGUUUUGCCAUCGAGUUCGGUUCUAUGCAUCGUGCACUCCGCGACUCAUUGAUUUUCGCAUCGACCCGAGUCGUCGAUCUUGCGACCAUGUGCUCUAUGCUUCAGUCGGGCCGCCACGUGCCACUAGUGUAAUGGCGGCGCGCCACUAGCGUAAUGGCGGCGCCCGGUGAUCACCGCACGUUUUACAUCGCAGUUACGGUUUACGAGUUUUUAAGAAUAAUAAAGUACUCACAGUGAUGUCCGGAUAUUUGUAAAAAUUCACCGUGGCCUGUGCUCUCCUUCUUCGCCUCGGUUAGUGAAAAUCCACCGAUUUAUGCCCGUUGACGAUGCGUAGUCCGCGGUGGGUAAAUAUUUACCUCGUAAAGUCAUUAUCACUAUUCGUCGAGGAAAGUCUUAACUUGCACUACAGCUAGUUGAUAAGUUUGUUCAUCGGCCUUUAUUGAUUUGAGAAAAUCAGCUCGAUGCCCCCGCAUAACCUCAACGAUGUGACAGCUUGCCUUACAGGCACAAAACCUUAGUAACAGUCAUGCAAUUAUUAUAAGCUAUCCUGUUACGACAUAAUCGACAGCGCUUCUGCCAGGAGAAAGGCAUUAGAACUUAGUUUAUUGGUUAUAAUUAUAGUGCUAUAAUUAAUAUGGCGUUCUGUCCAAGAUCAGUUCUACGGGUGUUCCCUCUCCUUGAGUUGCGUUAUAUGACCACACGCUUCUAUGUAUCCCAGACUUUUUCCUUUCCGAUGGAGAGUCUCCGCAUUUGAUUGUAUUACACCCAAAGAGCUCUUGAACACAUUCAGACACUGGUUGCUUCAACUUAUAAUGAAGAGAACGCAUCCUGCUCCGACAGCUAUUAUACAAGAUAAGUAUUGCACUAAUAACUUGUCGCUUCAGGCUUAUCACAUACACAAAUCACAUACAUGCAACUAUCACUAAUACUUUUCUUCCAGGUGGAGGAUUUAACAGAACAAUCAACCACUCUGCUCUCACACAUAAUAUUUGCCUAACUUAAUUUAACUUAAAACCACUCUAACUUCUGUGACGCCAAUGGCCAUACCAUGCGUCUACCCUGCUUGUCGCAUAAUCACUUUCCUGACUGCGACACAAGUUAAACUCAUUGCAAAUUACACAGCUUGUGUAAUUAUAUCAAACUUGUUCAAUUAACAAUGAGCUAUUUCCAUCAUGUUUUGACAACCGACUCAUCGAUGAUGCAUUUCCUUGGAAUUGAAAAAGGAAUGUGCAUAAUUUUGUCCUCCAUCAACACUCAAAAUAUUAUCUACAUGCUAUACUUAGGGAUACUUUCAAAAUACGUUGCUUCAUUUUCCAUCACUGCUUUCCUACUAUCAGUAUGUGAAAGAUUUUUCACAGUAUCCAUCCAUCCGCAAUUUGUAUAAAUAUUAUUUCAGUCUCUCGCGUCACUUGAACUGUAAUAUAAACCAGUCUUUUAUUUUCAUUACUCCUCUGCAUACCAUUUGUCAGGAACAAUACAUUUUAUUUGUAAAUCUAAUAACAUGUGAAGUCCUUCAUUUGUUCUAAGAUCAAUCAAUGAAUAAGUGAAGAGAAUAUUGAAAUCUGUGAAAAUAAGUAUCUAGUAAUAUUACUUCCGAACCAACAUAUUUAUUGCAAUGCUUGUCAAAUUUCAAAGUAAUUUCCUAUCCCUAUUAAACAUAUUUCAUAUAUGUGUAUGUCUAUUAUUUUGAUUAGUUGUUCUACUUGCAAUAAUUCGCCAUUCUGGAUCAUCUAGAUUCAACAAAGAUGCAUUCAAUUUACUCCAUACCUCAUAAAGCUCCUAUUAUCAUAAUUUAAAUGGGAAGAUAGAGAGCUGUGACAGUAUUCAGCUCUCAACUUUGAACAAGGCAUAUUGACAAGCCAGAGUAACUCACAUACAACUUGGUGGUACAA